This 496-nucleotide ribosomal RNA is filed under the name uncultured bacterium. RNAcentral describes it as "partial 16S ribosomal RNA". It matches the Rfam family "Bacterial small subunit ribosomal RNA", at positions 28 to 506 of the family's 1533-position model. The record is from RNAcentral.
GAUGAACGCUGGCGGCGUGCCUAAUACAUGCAAGUCGAGCGAACGGACGAGAAGCUUGCUUUUCUGAUGUUAGCGGCGGACGGGUGAGUAACACGUGGAUAACCUACCUAUAAGACUGGGAUAACUUCGGGAAACCGGAGCUAAUACCGGAUAAUAUUUUGAACCGCAUGGUUCAAAAGUGAAAGACGGUCUUGCUGUCACUUAUAGAUGGAUCCGCGCUGCAUUAGCUAGUUGGUAAGGUAACGGCUUACCAAGGCAACGAUGCAUAGCCGACCUGAGAGGGUGAUCGGCCACACUGGAACUGAGACGCGGUCCAGCCUCCUACGGGAGGCAGCAGUAGGGAAUCUUCCGCAAGGGGCGAAAGCCUGACGGGGCAACGCCGCGUGAGUGAUGAAGGUCUUCGGAUCGUAAAACUCUGUUAUUAGGGAAGAACAUAUGUGUAAGUAACUGUGCACAUCUUGACGGUACCGAAUCAGAAAGCCACGGCUAACUACGU